GAAGAAGCAUAAAAAAGUCAAGAGUCAGCUAGACCAGGCAAAAUUGGCCUUUCCUUCUUUGCUCUGUUCCCGUUACACGACAAAGAGCAAAGAGGGGCAGCUGUAAUAGGCCUAUUUUGCCUAAACCCAAUUAAAAUACAAAGACUAAAAUAAAAUAAAUGCUCAGUCCAGUUUUUUUCACAAACCAAAUUAAUAAACCCAAAUUACAUCAGCAGGCCCAAUACCCAAACAACCCAAAUAGCCCAACUAACCUAACUAAACCCUAGCCCAAAAAGAAACAAAAAGAAAAGAAAAGCAAAAAACCCUAAAGAAAUCAGCAGCCGCCUCCCCCAACUC
RNAcentral lists this long non-coding RNA (336 nucleotides) under Gossypium raimondii (Peruvian cotton). RNAcentral's name for it is "long non-coding RNA (GRAI_LNC008621)". Lineage: Eukaryota; Viridiplantae; Streptophyta; Magnoliopsida; Malvales; Malvaceae. The record is from RNAcentral.